CAGACCCUACCUCCCAGACCCUCCCACCUCCUGGACAGCUCACUAAGAAUGCAGCUUCAAAAUGGAUGCUGUCAAGGAGGUGGGAGGGUCUGGGAGGGAGGGUCUG
RNAcentral lists this microRNA precursor (106 nucleotides) under Pelobates cultripes (western spadefoot toad). The record is from RNAcentral. Lineage: Eukaryota; Metazoa; Chordata; Amphibia; Anura; Pelobatidae.